UGCGCAGCGGUCACGACAGAACGCAUCAAUCUUUCGCCUUUUACUAAAGAUUGCCGUGUCGUUUCCGCAAAUGAUGCGCGUCUAAUAAUUUUUGGGGCGCCUCGGCGCCA
Small nuclear RNA from Physeter macrocephalus (sperm whale), 110 nucleotides. Its record names the gene U5. It matches the Rfam family "U5 spliceosomal RNA". From Rfam's summary of the family: U5 RNA is a component of both types of known spliceosome. Lineage: Eukaryota; Metazoa; Chordata; Mammalia; Artiodactyla; Physeteridae. The record is from Ensembl.